UACGUAGGGCGCAAGCGUUGUCCGGAAUUAUUGGGCGUAAAGCGCUCGUAGGUGGCUUGUCACGUCGGGUGUGAAAGCUUGGGGCUUAACUCCAGGUCUGCAUUCGAUACGGGCUGGCUAGAGGUAGGUAGGGGAGAACGGAAUUCCUGGUGUAGCGGUGAAAUGCGCAGAUAUCAGGAGGAACACCGGUGGCGAAGGCGGUUCUCUGGGCCUUACCUGACGCUGAGGAGCGAAAGCGUGGGGAGCAAACAGG
This 253-nucleotide ribosomal RNA is filed under the name uncultured bacterium. Its description in RNAcentral is "partial 16S ribosomal RNA". It matches the Rfam family "Bacterial small subunit ribosomal RNA", at positions 524 to 776 of the family's 1533-position model. The record is from RNAcentral.